GACGAACGCUGGCGGCGUGCCUAAUACAUGCAAGUCGAACGCAUUUUCUUUCACCGUAUCUUGCUACACCGAAAGAAAAUGAGUGGCGAACGGGUGAGUAACACGUGGGUAACCUGCCCAUCAGCGGGGGAUAACACUUGGAUACAGGUGCUAAUACCGCAUAGUUCCAUUUACCGCAUGGUAGAUGGGUGAAAGGCGCUUUUGCGUCACUGAUGGAUGGACCCGCGGUGCUUUAGCUAGUGGGUGGGGUAACGGACUACCAAGGCUGCGAUGCAUAGCCGACCUGAGAGGGUGAGCGGCCACACUGGGAGGGAGACACGGCCCAGACUCCUACGGGAGGCAGCCGUAGGGAAUCUUCGGCAAUGGACGCAAGUCUGACCGAGCAACGCCGCGGGAGGGAAGAAGGUUUUCGGAUCGGAAAACUCGGUUGUUAGAGAAGAACCAGGAUGAGAGUGGAAAGUUCAUCCCUUGACGGUAGCUAACCAGAAAGCCACGGCUAACUACGUG
Molecule: ribosomal RNA, 507 nt
Filed under: uncultured bacterium
Lineage: Bacteria
Description: partial 16S ribosomal RNA
Rfam family: Bacterial small subunit ribosomal RNA
Source: RNAcentral